GACGAACGCUGGCGGCGUGCUUAACACAUGCAAGUCGAACGGUGAAGCCUUCGGGUGGAUCAGUGGCGAACGGGUGAGUAACACGUGAGCAAUCUGCCCUUGACUCUGGGAUAACUUCGGGAAACCGGAGCUAAUACCGGAUAUGACAUCUGGCCGCAUGGUCUGGGUGUGGAAAGAUUUAUCGGUCAAGGAUGAGCUCGCGGCCUAUCAGCUUGUUGGUGGGGAAUGGCCCACCAAGGCGACGACGGGUAGCCGGCCUGAGAGGGCGACCGGCCACACUGGGACUGAGACACGGCCCAGACUCCUACGGGAGGCAGCAGUGGGGAAUAUUGCGCAAUGGGCGGAAGCCUGACGCAGCGA
Molecule: ribosomal RNA, 360 nt
Filed under: uncultured bacterium
Lineage: Bacteria
Description: bacterial SSU rRNA
Rfam family: Bacterial small subunit ribosomal RNA
Source: RNAcentral